RNAcentral lists this ribosomal RNA (409 nucleotides) under uncultured microorganism. RNAcentral's name for it is "bacterial SSU rRNA". It matches the Rfam family "Bacterial small subunit ribosomal RNA", at positions 509 to 917 of the family's 1533-position model. The record is from RNAcentral.
CAGCAGCCGCGGUAAUACGUAGGGUGCGAGCGUUACUCGGAUUUACUGGGCGUAAAGCGUGCGCAGGCGGCCCGUUAAGACAGGUGUGAAAUCCCUGGGCUCAACCUAGGAAUUGCGCUUGUGACUGCGGGCUCGAGUACGGUAGAGGGGGGUGGAAUUCCUGGUGUAGCAGUGAAAUGCGUAGAGAUCAGGAGGAACACCGAUGGCGAAGGCAGCCCCCUGGGCCUGUACUGACGCUCAUGCACGAAAGCGUGGGGAGCAAACAGGAUUAGAUACCCUGGUAGUCCACGCCCUAAACGAUGGGUACUAGCCGUUUGGUGCGCGAUAGCGCUGAGUGGCGAAGCUAACGCGUGAAGUACCCCGCCUGGGGAGUACGGCCGCAAGGUUGAAACUUAAAGGAAUUGGCGGG